Long non-coding RNA from Bactrocera neohumeralis, 3789 nucleotides. RefSeq lists it as uncharacterized. The record is from RefSeq and is a predicted model, not a curated record. NCBI's taxonomy places the organism in Eukaryota, Metazoa, Arthropoda, Insecta, Diptera, Tephritidae. The transcript has 3 exons.
CAUCGAGUUUACCAUCCCUAGUUCUGUCCAUUCUGGAAUUUAAUUUUUCAAUACGCUGUAUAUUCUUUUACAUACAUCGGACACGAUUCUACCAAAGUGCUGCUUGCUUGCUGAAUUUAGUAGGCAACAUUGGUUAAAAAUGACAGAUUUUUGCCAUUGUGAAUGGUGAUUGACAGAAGGAAGAAGAUGAAAACGUAAGCAAAAGAUUUAAAGAAAGCGGUAGAGAUGGAAGGGAACAAACUAAGAACAAUGUGGACAAAUAGUGACUGUUUAGUUUUGUAACAAAUAGAUACAUACAUAUGUAUGUGUCUCUAUUUGUAUUGUGGUAAUCAUAAAAUUAUUAAAUUGGUAAUCACGCACAUUCGGAAUAAAAAGACCGCAGCACUAAUGUGUAUAUUGUACAAAUAAUUUAUUAAAGAAGUAUUUGACUUUUUACAAAUAUUCCUUUUCUUAAAGUUAAAUAUUUCGAUUAUUUAAGUAACGAAUGUUGUCGAUGUAGAUAGAUCGCUGCUGUCGAUGUUGAAAAACUGUAGCGGGACGUGUGUUCUCGGUACGGGCGUAAAAAGCCAAUGUGUAUCAGCGAUGAGUGCGUGGCGAAUUGUGGAAACGAAUUGUGUCAGCUUCCCCGUUGUCCACUCCUUUUGUUGGUUGGGUUGGUGUAGAGGUUUGGUGAGUUAAAUUGGUGUUGUGUUGCAGUGGCAUCCUGUGGUGAAUUGCGCUAUUUUAUUAGGAUGCGCUAGUUUUUCUGGGUAGAGAGGGUGGAUGCUUAACUCAUUUAAACAUCCUGGGCCCCCUAGGUGAAUAUUUUGCCUAGUAUUAUACGUAUAAGUAUGUAUUUCGACGUACUACUGGUGGAGUAGCCGAAGCGCGGAAUACGUUCUGACAGCAGAAGUAUGUCUUGAAGGAUUCAUAUUUAUCCGUGUGUGUAGAGAACGGAUUUUGGUAUGAAACAUAUCACAUAUAUUUCAAUGUGCAUUUUAAUAUACGGGUAGGUGCUUAAGAAAUGCAACUUUAUUAUGCGGGUUUAAUUGAUUUUACUGACAACCUUUUGUAUUUGCGAUUUUUCCUUUUAUCGUUUCAUUAACUGGAUUAUUUAUUAUUUGCCUUUUCUGUGUUAUCGGCUCAUCAAUGGGUACUCCUUAGCCCUAGAUUUAGGACUAUGAAAGUAGAGCGAUCUUGCGAGAGAAUGGCCGUGAAUAGAGAACGGCUUCGAUUCAUAGAGUAGAAAAUUCUUCAUAAUUAAGUUGAUGCUUCUUAGAGCUGUUUUCCAUGAGUAGCGCUUAGAUAGAUGCGAUAAGAACGACCUUUGCCUUUUGUAAGAGUAGGUGCGUCACUGUAUCGCAUUGGGAGUAUGGUGAUCCCUUAACUUUCUUUUGAGAUUUUAUUUAUUUUUGAAAAUGUAUGAAAAGUGUAAUAUUACAAGUUUUCAGAUCGUGGGUAUGGGACAAGCAGUUUGUGCAGAGUCUCUUUGAUCUGACAAAGUUGUUCCUUUCGUUAAUGCUUAAUUUUUUAAACUUCUCGCAAGUUUUAAGCUUAUGUCCUCUUGUGCAUAGUUCGCAUGACAUAUGUUUUCUUUGUUCCGAUGUGAACGAUUGUAUUUUGUUAAAAAUUCUGUUUAAUUUGUUUUUGCUUCUAGCUUGGGGUCUAUUUGAGCUUCCAUUUUGGUCAUUCUUAGUUUUGAUUAUUUUUUCUUCUAACCUUUCCGCAAUUUCAUAUUGGGUGGUGAGAAAAUCUUUCAUUUGUUGCCACGUUGGGCACUUUCUUCUCUGAUAAUUGAGGAUGGUUUAUGUACACGGCCGUGAACAUGUCCCGGAAGGAUGGCCAUUCUUCAUAACCUCCAUAAAAUGUUUCUGUGUCACAUGCGGGCACCUCAAGUUGGAUGCCUGAACUUGCCUCUUGAUAUUGUUGCACUUGUGGCAGCUCUACUCUACUGUGGGGAGUAGGUGCAAUUGCUUUUAAUAGCUUCAAUUGAUCGGAGAUCAUAGCUUUCGUUUCUUCAUAUUGGUCUAAGCAGUUUUCGUAAGUAUCGUAAGCCGAUGAUUUAAAAAUUUGAGGUAGAUCUGAAUCGUCAGAUUCUACUAUGGCGUCAUGAGCCGCUUGGAGUCGUAUCCAAAAAUUGUUGAGAUUUAUAUUUCUGAUUUCUAGUAACGAUUCCGAGUUUUCGUGAAUCGGUGAAGAGGCAAAUCUAGUGCAGUAUCUUGUUAAACUGUCACUUUCUGAAAUAAAUCUAGCAAUCUGUUUUGAGCGUGUAGCUCCAGGUGUGCUAUGAUUUUUGUUAUUGUUCAUUAUUUUAGUUGUAUGAAGAAAUAUUUUUUAAAAUGAAGAAAGGGUUUCUCAGUGUGAACUGAAUACUUUUUUAAGUAUAUGAACGUUUUUUUUCGUAAAAGACGGAUUUUUUGUUUUAUUAAUACCGUUACUUGUUUACUUGCUAUUUAAAUUUGUUUUUAUUUUAAUAUUAUUUUUAUUUUAUAUGAUUUGUUUUCAAACCACGAUAUUAUUUUUAAUUAUUUUCUAUAUAGGUAUAGAGGCACACCCUAAUAAUUGACUUGUAUGUACUUGUUUUUGUGCAAUUGAGAGCUCGUCGAAGAGAUCAAUAUGCUUUGUACAUAAGUAUGCACGACUUGUUAGAGCUAAUGUUUUUUUUUUUUUUGUUUUUCUUGCAAUCCUGCUUGUUUUUGUUUGACAAAGAACAAGUGGUCUUGCAGAAUAGAUGCUAAUAUGGACUUUAAAUAGAUGGGUAUGUUUAAAUGCACAUGUGUGUAUGUACGUAUGUUGAAAUGUAUGUUGUUCAAAUUAAUAAUUUGAUGUAUGUAUAUUUCGUUAAUCUGAUUUUUAAUUUUGCAUACGUUCUAAUAAAUGUAUUUUGUAAAAGUCAAUUUUACUUUGUCUUACCGUUUAGUUUUUUACGGAAAAUUAAUUAAAAUUUAAAAUUUUAAUAAUUUAGCAUAUGGUACCCAGUAUAGGGUAUAAAACUACAGGCAGAUUCUAUGCCGCAUGGUUAUACAUAUGUAUAUAAAUAUGUAUUUUCGCUCUGAGAAGAGAGUGCGAAGGCGAAAUAAAGAAUGUGCAGGUAUUCUCCCGCAUGCACUUUGUAUGUUGUUUGUUGAUUUGUAAGAAGUUAGGUUUAUGUCAAGAAUGAUAGAAUACAAGAUUACGAUGACCGCCAUUACGGAACGUCAUAGUUCCGUGUUGAGAAGAACAAGAGUGAAAAACUGUCAAAUGGCUUGCAAAUUGUAAACAGAAAAGUAAACACUUUUGUAAAUUCGCAAAAUAUUAUUAAUUCUUUCGAUUUUAAUGAAAAGUUUUAGUGAAGCGGUUGAAUAUUGUUGAGUGAAAAGAUUUGAAUCAUUUCUAAAGAAUUGUGGUGAAUUGCGCUAUUUUAUUAGGAUGCGCUAGUUUUACUGGGUAGAGAGGGUGGAUGCUUAACUCAUUUAAACAGUGACGAAGUUGUGUUAAUAGAUUUGUGGCGGGAACGAGCCAGAGACUAGCGACGUGCUAAACGUAAUGUGCACAUCUAUGCCGACAUCUCUGUGCAAAUGCCGCACAAAUUUACUGUAAAAGAAGUGCAUGUUAAAAUACGGAAUCUUACACAAAAGUAUAGAGAGGAAAAGAAAAAAGUUGGGCCCUCGGGGGGCAGCCCAUCGCUGUGGAAACAUUUUGAUGCGGUCCAUCAAAUUAUCGGACUGACAGCAGCCAAUACUGCUGAAGUAUUCGAAUCAUUUACUGUGGUAAGCUGAGUUUUACACGUUUAUUAUUAAAAUAAUUUUUUCUUUAAAACAUACCGAAUUC